UCCGUAGGCGGGCAAUUAAGUCAGAGGUGAAAUCCCACAGCUCAACUGUGGAACUGCCUUUGAUACUGGUUGUCUUGAGUUACAGUGAAGUAGAUAGAAUAUGUAGUGUAGCGGUGAAAUGCAUAGAUAUUACAUAGAAUACCGAUUGCGAAGGCAGUCUACUAACUGUCGACUGACGCUAAGGGACGAAAGCGUGGGGAGCGAACAGGAUUAGAUACCCUGGUAGUCC
RNAcentral lists this ribosomal RNA (229 nucleotides) under uncultured bacterium. Its description in RNAcentral is "partial 16S ribosomal RNA". It matches the Rfam family "Bacterial small subunit ribosomal RNA", at positions 568 to 796 of the family's 1533-position model. The record is from RNAcentral.